Molecule: regulatory RNA element, 117 nt
Organism: Nitrosomonas communis
Lineage: Bacteria; Pseudomonadati; Pseudomonadota; Betaproteobacteria; Nitrosomonadales; Nitrosomonadaceae
Rfam family: ALIL pseudoknot
Source: Rfam
AGCAUAUUUUACUCAGGCAAAGCUCGACCGCCGACCGAAGCUAUGGUGAUAUUUAUCAAUCAGCACAAGAAGCAGUACAAAGUCGACCCGAUCUGCAGGCAAAUUCAGAUUACCCUG